Long non-coding RNA from Cebus imitator (Panamanian white-faced capuchin), 197 nucleotides. RefSeq lists it as uncharacterized. The record is from RefSeq and is a predicted model, not a curated record. NCBI's taxonomy places the organism in Eukaryota, Metazoa, Chordata, Mammalia, Primates, Cebidae. The transcript is spliced from 2 exons.
GAUCCAGCGGGAGGCGGGGCCACGUGACCGUGCGUGACGUCAGGGCCGCGGCGGAGCCGGCCAAACUCAAGUUGGUUCAGGGAAUUGUCAACAAAGGGACGAGAGACGCGCAACUCCGCUCCGCACGCAUCAGCUGGGGUUCCCGAAGGUCAGAAAAUGGCUAUUGAUUAAUCUAUUAGAAUAGUUGCCUAGAGGAA